Molecule: ribosomal RNA, 925 nt
Filed under: uncultured Bacteroidota bacterium
Lineage: Bacteria; Pseudomonadati; Bacteroidota
Description: bacterial SSU rRNA
Rfam family: Bacterial small subunit ribosomal RNA
Source: RNAcentral
UGGAUCCAGACUUUGAUUCUGGCUCAGGAUGAACGCUAGCUACAGGCUUAACACAUGCAAGUCGAGGGGCAGCAUUUCAGUUUGCUUGCAAACUGGAGAUGGCGACCGGCGCACGGGUGAGUAACACGUAUCCAACCUGCCGAUAACUCGGGGAUAGCCUUUCGAAAGAAAGAUUAAUACCCGAUAGUAUAAUGAAACCGCAUGGUCUUAUUAUUAAAGAAUUUCGGUUAUCGAUGGGGAUGCGUUCCAUUAGGCAGUUGGUGAGGUAACGGCUCACCAAACCUUCGAUGGAUAGGGGUUCUGAGAGGAAGGUCCCCCACAUUGGAACUGAGACACGGUCCAAACUCCUACGGGAGGCAGCAGUGAGGAAUAUUGGUCAAUGGGCGCAGGCCUGAACCAGCCAAGUAGCGUGAAGGAUGACUGCCCUAUGGGUUGUAAACUUCUUUUAUAUGGGAAUAAAGUUUUCCACGUGUGGAAUUUUGUAUGUACCAUAUGAAUAAGGAUCGGCUAACUCCGUGCCAGCAGCCGCGGUAAUACGGAGGAUCCGAGCGUUAUCCGGAUUUAUUGGGUUUAAAGGGAGCGUAGGUGGACAGUUAAGUCAGUUGUGAAAGUUUGCGGCUCAACCGUAAAAUUGCAGUUGAUACUGGCUGUCUUGAGUACAGUAGAGGUGGGCGGAAUUCGUGGUGUAGCGGUGAAAUGCUUAGAUAUCACGAAGAACUCCGAUUGCGAAGGCAGCUCACUGGACUGCAACUGACACUGAUGCUCGAAAGUGUGGGUAUCAAACAGGAUUAGAUACCCUGGUAGUCCACACAGUAAACGAUGAAUACUCGCUGUUUGCGAUAUACAGUAAGCGGCCAAGCGAAAGCAUUAAGUAUUCCACCUGGGGAGUACGCCGGCAACGGUGCAACUCAAAUGAAUUGACGGA